RNAcentral lists this ribosomal RNA (482 nucleotides) under uncultured bacterium. RNAcentral describes it as "partial 16S ribosomal RNA". It matches the Rfam family "Bacterial small subunit ribosomal RNA", at positions 30 to 507 of the family's 1533-position model. The record is from RNAcentral.
UGAACGCUGUCGGCAGGCCUACCACAUGCACGUCGAGCGGAUGAAGGGAGCUUGCUCCUGGAUUCAGCGGCGGACGGGUGAGUAAUGCCUAGGAAUCUGCCUGGUAGUGGGGGAUAACGUCCGGAAACGGGCGCUAAUACCGCAUACGUCCUGAGGGAGAAAGUGGGGGAUCUUCGGACCUCACGCUAUCAGAUGAGCCUAGGUCGGAUUAGCUAGUUGGUGGGGUAAAGGCCUACCAAGGCGACGAUCCGUAACUGGUCUGAGAGGAUGAUCAGUCACACUGGAACUGAGACACGGUCCAGACUCCUAAGGGGGGCAGCAGUGGGGAAUAUUGGACAAUGGGCGAAAGCCUGAUCCAGCCAUGCCGCGUGUGCGAAGAAGGUCUUCGGAUUGUAAAGCACUUUAAGUUGGGAGGAAGGGCAGUAAGUUAAUACCUUGCUGUUUUGACGUUACCAACAGAAUAAGCACCGGCUAACUUCGUG